RNAcentral lists this ribosomal RNA (305 nucleotides) under uncultured bacterium. RNAcentral describes it as "bacterial SSU rRNA". It matches the Rfam family "Bacterial small subunit ribosomal RNA", at positions 337 to 659 of the family's 1533-position model. The record is from RNAcentral.
CCCUACGGGGGGCAGCAGUGGGGAAUAUUGCACAAUGGGGGAAACCCUGAUGCAGCGACGCCGCGUGAGUGAAGAAGUAAUUCGUUAUGUAAAGCUCUAUCAGCAGGGAAGAAAAUGACGGUACCUGAGUAAGAAGCCCCGGCUAACUACGUGCCAGCAGCCGCGGUAAUACGUAGGGGGCAAGCGUUAUCCGGAUUUACUGGGUGUAAAGGGAGCGUAGACGGCAGGGCAAGUCUGGAGUGAAAGGCAGGGGCCCAACCCCUGGACUGCUCUGGAAACUGUCCGGCUGGAGUGCAGGAGAGGUA